UUCAAUUCCACAGAAACUAAAAUCUUAAAAUCGGAAUGCGAUACAAGGAAGCGGGAACUUUACAAAACAAUUGAAAUAAUCAAUAAUGUAAACAGCAUUAAUUUUAAAACAUACAAUAAGCAUUUAAGCAUUAUUUACCAUUUCAUUCUGACUUAAUUAGAUUUCAUUUAUAUAUUUAUAAAAAAAAAUAAAGUAAGAUAAGUGUACUUUUGUUGGUUGUCUCCAGGCAGAAUCAAACAUUCACCUUUGCAAAUUGUUCAGUCGACAUGACCUCUCAGCAUGGAGAGACCAGAAAAUUUUAUUUUUAUAUUUCAAAUGCGACAAAAUUUUAGCGUGUGACCAAAAAAAAAUUAUUUGUGUAGAUACAUGUGUUUUGGAUUGUUUUUGUGCUGACGUGGAAUUGUGUCUGACUUAAUUCAUGUAAGUGAAAUCUCCGCUCUUGAAUGAUUUUUAACCUUGGUAGAUGUAUUAGGAGUUUGUAAAUAAUUCUCGCAACGUCUUCAAGAAGAAUAGGUCUGUUAGAGUCUUUACAGUAUCUGUAACCCUGAGGAAGAGAGCAGAGCACUGCCGAAACGUUGGAAAAUAAAGAAGAGCAUCUAACUUAAACACAAAUUUCCCAAUUAGGACGACAUCCCCCAGAAUUCAUAAACUAACAAUAUAAACAAACAUCGUCUAAGAACGUUUCAUGGCGCAAAUGAGCUUCAAGCUUCUCACAAGGGAAGUUAUUUUGAAAAUUCAUAGAAGCGCUUUUACAAUACGAGGAUAUCCGAACAAUAAAUGUUUGAAAAGCUCCCGCAGUUACAUUGAAAACGUUUGAAAGUACGCACCAAACAAGAGGGAUCAGUUGGGAGUUUUCUGAUAAAUGAAGCAAAGUUUUCCCUAUUUGACGGUAUCCACAUUAUUUGAUCGUGCAGUUGAAGAAUAUUUCGCUUUAGAAGCACAUAAAAUAAAUUGUUAUAUUGUUGUGCGAUUGAUUCAUUCUCACCCACCACCCGUACCCGUAGAUGUAGCUAUGAAGUAUUGUAGUAAGUAUGCAUUGGAUCGCAUUCGGCUGUUCUGGAACAGAAACUAAUUUUGUUUUGUUUCAGCCCGUAUACACUUAUCGCAAAUUUUUAAAAAUGUCCAUUUUGUGAACAACACUUGUCCUCAAUGUGGGAAACAGUUCAAAAGAAAAGACCACGUCCAAAGACACUAUCUGGAGUUGCAUAUGGCCAUCAAGAAUUUUGCUCAUUUCACCUGCUCCAGGUGCAAGAAAGUGUUCAAGCGCAAGUACAUGAUGGAACACCAUGAGAAGAAAUGUUUUGAUGAAAUAAAUCUGCGUUGUUUCAAGUGUUCGCAAGUGUUCGACUCGACGGAGAAAUGGAAACUGCACCUGCGACGCGCUCAUAACUAUAACAUGGUUCCCGUCUAGACAAGCAAAUGUUGUACAACUGUGCCUUAAUGCAACUGUAACGAGACUGUAUAGAAUAAUAUGCUAGAUAUAAGGGGGGCUGUGGGAAAAGUUAAUGAUUUCAGAAGUGUAUUAGUAGAACAAAGUGGCACAUCAGUGUUAUUCAAAGUAUAACGCCGGAAAAUUGUCUCUAAAAUAAUCCUUUUUUGCAUAAGUAGGUGCCAACGGGGGGUACAUUUCAAAAUCUUUUUAUAACUUACAGGAUUAUAACCUGAACUCCAUUGAACUUUUGGCCAAUCGAUCCUUUCCAUCGAUCUCCGAAAUCAUCCACUUCCGUCGGUAGUUUAGUUCUUUAGUUGUUUAGUUUCUGCUAACCAUCAUAAUUUAGACUGAUUGAAAGUAUUUACUUAUAUUAGUUCUUUGACUUGAAUAAACAUUAUUUUACGCACCACGGACUUACUCUUGCACAUAACCUUGGGUGGCUUUAAGAACACUCCAAAGAGGCGUCGCUUUUUUUAUUAAUGCAACGUUUUCCAGCAGCGCUAUCCCGACUGCAACGCCACACGUGUUAUUUAUGCCAGAAAAGCUACAAAUAUAGCCGGCAUUUGACCGCCCAUCUGAAGUACGAAUGCGGAAGGGUGCCCGGUUUUACGUGCAAUCAAUGCGGCAAGAAGUUCCAUUACAACUACACGUUAAAUGCCCAUAGAAGGAGGGUGCAUCUAGCGGAGCGCAAAAGGAGCCUCUGAAAACGGGUUUAAGUCCUUAGGUCUAGUUUAUGCUCAAUUUGGGUUCACUUCUGUUUAAGUUUGUUACCAAUGUUUUCACUAAAUAGACUAAAUACAUCAUAUCCACCCCAGGUUUGAUGUGAAAAGCCUAAAAAUUCAUUGUUUUUUUGGUCAGGUUUUACUAUGGCGUUUGUACUGUUGAGAAAUGAGAAAUAUAAAUCGGUUUCUGGGAAAUUAUCUGGACCAUCGACGUACUAACCACCAAUCCUUUUAGUUAACGUUUGCUAAUUCUAUCUAAUUUUUCAGUAAAAUACAAGUGCCAAUCCUGCCUGAAAAAUUACAAAACAUCACAAACGUUGGCACGACAUCAGAAAUAUGAAUGUGGCAGAACGAAAAUGUUCGCUUGCCCAUUUGUAGGGUGUUUCUUCCGAAGCAAGCGCAAAGACAAUCUGAAGUUACAUGCAAGAAAACAUCGGGUUAAAUAAACUUCUUAUUUGACGUUUUGCUGUUUUUCUUUCACUAGUAGAAUGUAGUUUUCUGAGUUUGUCUUAGUAGGGAAACUAGUUGGCGCCUUCGGCUCCCUCGCUCUAUUUACUAACGAUUUUUGUUUGUUUUAGCUGAAAUAUGCAUUGGCAAAGCGCGAUUUAAGAUGAAUUUAUGCCAGUACCAGUUUUUCGCAUGAAACUUGCCCUUAGUUUCCUGCAACUUUCAUAUAACUACUUUAAUAUGAUGUAUUCAAUAUACCAAGUUUACCAACUAGACCAAGAUAAUUAUAAUUUUUUAUAUAAUUUUUUAUUAAUACUCUUAACCUUAAUGUACAUACAUACAAACGACGUUUUCGGAUUUUCAUCGACUACCUACAAUCAAUACAUUUUUAGGCAAUCGAUGCUUUAUAACGGCAGAUGAAGAGCUGGCACGUAAAACCCUCGAGUUGAUCAACAGCGGCAUUUCCAUCCGAAAGGCCGCUUCGAUUUUGCAGAUUUCCAAAAGCUCAGUGCAUACCAUUGUGAAAAAGUUCCGCGAAGGAGCUGGACUGCACUUUUUAAACGCUCUUGGAAAAACGCGACGAAAGUUCCAAAAUAGCGCUGACGAUUCUUCGCUCGAUCUGGACCCGUUUUUUGAGGCCGCAAGAACGCGAGCUAAUCAGGAGAUGAACUGGCCGGAUGACGAUGAGGUGAUUUGCCAGAAGCUAUAUUUUAAUUCGGACAGUGGGCAAUCAAAGAAUCUCUAGAAUUUAAUUAAUAAAAAAUUUGAACAGAUUUCAGAAACGCUCAAAACAUUGUGAAUCAAAAAAGCAAUUUUCUACACAUGUUUUUGUUAUCAUUAUUAUCAAUAACGAUUGUUAGAAUACAUAUUUCUUAAUUUUUAUAGCAUUGUUAGUUUGACUUUUUUCAAUUACCCCCUCAUCGAUUUUAGUUUAGGAUGUUUCGUUCGUGUAAAGUGAAUUACAUGCGUAGAGCAAGGAAGGUGCAUGCAUCAGAAAGAGAGAGAGUAUGAGCAAUACCCUCUUCUCUCUCUUUUCAGCACAAGCAUUGAUGAUCUUCCGCUUGUGAGGAUAUUGACGCCCCCUACAACAGCUUGGGUAUUGCCUGGAUCAAGCCAAGCAAAUUUAAAUAAUACCAAAGUUACCCAAACUAACUUAACCUUUUAUAGCUUGAUGACUAUGAUGAAAACUGACUACUUUUUGUCGACUGUUGAUCGUAAGCGAAAUCUGUUCAGCAAAUCAACCAAAUAUCUGCCUUAAAUACUUGUAAACGGUAUAAAGAGUUAUUAUCCGUAGAGCGAAAUUUCAUUCUCUAAAGUGGUCGAAAAUUUAACCAGUGUUUCUUUUAUUSUAGUGAGUAUGCACGUAUCAGUUGUGGUCCUCAAAUACAUUGUUUUUGUGGGUUGUAUCAUUCUUUUGAGAUAAGUUUUAUACAUAACAAAGUUUAUUGCAUGUUUAAAGAUAUAAUUACUUAUUAAAUAUGUGGCAACUCCCAAGUUUUCAAUAGAUUUAUUACAAAUUUCAAUUUAACUUUGAAAAUGUAAAAAAACCUACAGUUUAGGAGUAAUUUGGCAAUUGAACUCAUAGCUAAUUUUUGUAGCAGAAAAAGAAAACGACCGGCCCCUAUCACUUCAAGAAAAAAUAAAAAAAGUGAAUAUACGAAGAGUUAAUGUUAAUYAUGCGGCGAGAAAGGCAGAUGUAGGAAAACAUUUGCCUACCAAAGGCACAAGUAGAAGAUGCGCUCAUUGCAGCAGUUCAAAACGUUGUAAGAGGACACAUAUUGUAUGCCGAAAGUGCAAUGUGGCCUUGUGCUUGAAUUGUUUUGCACCUUUUCAUGAACUAUAAUGACUACCAAAAAAAAAUAUUGAACAAAAAAGUGUUUACAAUAUAUGGUUGAUAAUUUAACCAGUGAUCAUAUGCUGAUAUUACUGACACUUAACAGUCACUGGUUGAAAAAUCAACCAUCCCCACUCCCCAUAGUAUAAAAGUAAAACAAAUAUCAGAUAAGAAAAAGUACUUCAUUUCAUCUAGUUUUCAUGUUUAUAAAGUAAAUUUGCAAAUAUCAGGAAAAAAGUACUGCCCUAUAAAGGGUUAAAUUAACUCAAGCCAACCCAAACUGACGGUAACUAACUCAAUGUUUAACGUGACUUACAUGCGUGGAACAGGGAAGGCACUCGAAUGCUUGCAUCAGAACGAGAGGUGGACAUUAUCCUCCUUCUCUUUCUAGUACGAAGCAUUCAUGCUCCUCCCUUGUUCCACCCACAUAUUCAAUGGUGCUUGCGAUACUAUUGACGCGAAAUUAAGCCAGUUACUCCGGAGUAUUUUAGAAAAGUGUAAGUUUGGCCCUGGACUAGUUUCCCGUUUUAUUCACUGCACAUUUUUUUAGCAAGGGAAUUCCGGUGCCAGAUGUGCUUCAAAGGCUACUCAGUGAAAAGGUCUCUCUGGCGGCAUCAAAAGUACGAAUGCUGCAGAAUAUCGAAGCCUUUUUCCUGCGCCUUUCCCAGAUGCUCUUAUAAAACCACUCGGAAGUACAUUUUGGCUAACCAUUUGAGACUCAAGCACCACAUCAUGGAUAGUGGCUAGUUCAAUACAAAGCAGGGACAACCAGUGGUGCCAAAUCCAGGCCAUUCCAGUCAACUGCGCUAGUUGAUUCUGUGAUUUUUUUUUAAAUUUUUGUGAUAUUUAAUUUAUUGUGUUUUGUGACCGGAAACAAACUGUAGGUAUUUUCAGUCUUUUGUGAUGUUCAGAUAUUUCCAACAGCAACUUGCAUCUAGUCAGUGUAUCUAGUAAUAUAAAAAAAUUUAACUCCAUGCAGAGGAUUUUCCGGAGUCACGUCAAUGAAUUGUUUUUUCCUUGAAAGUAUGUUUGCUAUCGAGAAAGUGAUGGCAGAAUUCGUUCAGUUCCAGAUGCCGAAAGGCACCAGUGUUCCACUUGCAAGAAAACAUACAAGUUUAAAAGUGGCUUAAGUCAGCAUGCUCGCUACGAAUGUGGAAAAACGCCCCAAUUUGCCUGCCCUGUUUGCAACUAUCGCUCAUGUUUUCGUCAGAAUAUCAACGCUCACUUAAAGAGGCGACAUUCGAAAAAUGCGUUAUAAAUUCCCAGAAGAAUUCGAUUUAUUCGCCAAGUUUUAUCGUUUUAGUAGCUUUUUAGCCAUGAUGUUGAUGAUGAUAGAUUCGAUAAUGGUGAAGAACCAGAGAUUUUCCAUAUGUUUGCAAAUGCGGCAACAAGUACAAAUACAUCAAAGGCCUGAAGGAACAUCAAAAGUGGUCUUGCGGUAGAAAAAGAACAUGCCCAUGCCCUUAUUGUUCAUACGUGGCUCGAUGGAAAUCCAACCUAACAAGUCAUAUCAAGCGGAAACAUCCGGACGUGGUUUUUUAGUCAUGGUUGAUUAAAGUCGGUUUCAUUCGU
Molecule: long non-coding RNA, 6007 nt
Organism: Dendroctonus ponderosae (mountain pine beetle)
Lineage: Eukaryota; Metazoa; Arthropoda; Insecta; Coleoptera; Curculionidae
Exons: 2
Source: RefSeq, a predicted model, not a curated record